Molecule: ribosomal RNA, 492 nt
Filed under: uncultured bacterium
Lineage: Bacteria
Description: partial 16S ribosomal RNA
Rfam family: Bacterial small subunit ribosomal RNA
Source: RNAcentral
AGUGAACGCUGGCGGUAGGCCUAACACAUGCAAGUCGAACGGCAGCACAGUAAGAGCUUGCUCUUACGGGUGGCGAGUGGCGGACGGGUGAGGAAUACAUCGGAAUCUACUUUUUCGUGGGGGAUAACGUAGGGAAACUUACGCUAAUACCGCAUACGACCUACGGGUGAAAGUAGGGGAUCUUCGGACCUUGCGCGAUUGAAUGAGCCGAUGUCGGAUUAGCUAGUUGGCGGGGUAAGGGCCCACCAAGGCGACGAUCCGUAGCUGGUCUGAGAGGAUGAUCAGCCACACUGGAACUGAGACACGGUCCAGACUCCUACGGGAGGCAGCAGUGGGGAAAAUUGGACAAUGGGCGCAAGCCUGAUCCAGCCAUACCGCGUGGGUGAAGAAGGCCUUCGGGUUGUAAAGCCCUUUUGUUGGGAAAGAAAAGCAGCAGGUUAAUACCCCGCUGUUCUGACGGUACCCAAAGAAUAAGCACCGGCUAACUUCGUG